CCUACGGGAGGCAGCAGUGGGGAAUAUUGGGCAAUGGGCGCAAGCCUGACCCAGCAACGCCGCGUGAAGGAAGAAGGCUUUCGGGGUGUAAACUUCUUUUGUCAGGGAAGAGUAGAAGACGGUACCUGACGAAUAAGCCACGGCUAACUACGUGCACGCAGCCGCGGUAAUACGUAGGUGGCAAGCGUUGUCCGGAUUUACUGGGUGUAAAGGGCGUGUAGCCGGGUUGACAAGGUAGAUUUGAAAGCCUGCGGCGUAACCGCAGAACUGCCGUUGAAACUGUUGAUCUUGAGUACUGGAGAGGCAGACGGAAUGCCUAGUGUAGCGGUGAAAUGCGUAGAUAUUAGGAGGAACACCAGUGGCGAAGGCGGUCUGCUGGACAGCAACUGACGGUGAGGCGCGAAAGCGUGGGGAGCAAACAGGAUUAGAUACCCCUGUAGUC
RNAcentral lists this ribosomal RNA (442 nucleotides) under uncultured bacterium. Its description in RNAcentral is "partial 16S ribosomal RNA". It matches the Rfam family "Bacterial small subunit ribosomal RNA", at positions 338 to 795 of the family's 1533-position model. The record is from RNAcentral.